This is a non-coding RNA of Canis lupus familiaris (dog), 135 nucleotides long. NCBI's taxonomy places the organism in Eukaryota, Metazoa, Chordata, Mammalia, Carnivora, Canidae. The record is from Rfam.
AGCUUUGCGCAGUGGCAGUAUCGUAGCCAAUGAGGUUUAUCCGAGGCGCGAUUAUUGCUAAUUGGAAAGGGAGGCAAGAGCCCAAUCAUAUAGUUGCUAGAAGUCAUAUAAGGAAGCUUAGAUUUCAUUUUAAAG